Molecule: ribosomal RNA, 494 nt
Filed under: uncultured bacterium
Lineage: Bacteria
Description: bacterial SSU rRNA
Rfam family: Bacterial small subunit ribosomal RNA
Source: RNAcentral
GAUGAACGCUAGCGGCAGGCUUAACACAUGCAAGUCGAGGGGUAUAGUUCUUCGGAAUUAGAGACCGGCGCACGGGUGCGUAACGCGUAUGCAAUCUACCUUUCACAGAGGGAUAGCCCCAGAGAAAUUUGGAUUAAUACCUCAUAGUAUAGCAGUUUCGCAUGAAACCACUAUUAAAGUCACAACGGUGAAAGAUGAGCAUGCGUCCCAUUAGCUAGUUGGUAAGGUAACGGCUUACCAAGGCAACGAUGGGUAGGGGUCCUGAGAGGGAGAUCCCCCCACACUGGUACUGAGACACGGACCAGACUCCUACGGGAGGCAGCAGUGAGGAAUAUUGGACAAUGGGCGCAACACUGAACCAGCCAUGCCGCGUGAAGGAUGAAGGCGCUCUGCGUUGUAAACUUCUUUUAAGUGGGAAGAAAAACUCAUAUUCAUAUGAGCCUGACGGUACCACUGGAAUAAGCACCGGCUAACUCCGUGCCAGCAGCCGACGG